GUUUGUCUCUGUUGUGUUGAAGACCAAUCAAGCAGGAGAGACCAGCCUCCCCUGUUCCCAGCUGUGUGUCCAUGAAGAGUGACCAGUCUAUGGAUCAUCCAAUGAAGUUUAGAGAGGGAGACUUUUCUACUGAACAAAGAAACCAACAGGAGAGAUCAGAGUCAGAGAUUCUCAGUGGUCAGUCUUCCCAGAGUCAUCAAACAGACCUGGACUCUAUAUUCAGUUUGCUUGAAGAGAAAAUGAUUACAUUUGUGAAGAACGAGCUGAAGAUGUUCAAGAGGAUUCUUAGUCCAGAACUCCCAGA
This 304-nucleotide long non-coding RNA is filed under the name Salmo salar (Atlantic salmon). Its description in RNAcentral is "lncRNA (ENSSSAG00000090047.1)". Lineage: Eukaryota; Metazoa; Chordata; Actinopteri; Salmoniformes; Salmonidae. The record is from RNAcentral.